RNAcentral lists this ribosomal RNA (723 nucleotides) under Vibrio sp. 12F12. RNAcentral describes it as "bacterial SSU rRNA". It matches the Rfam family "Bacterial small subunit ribosomal RNA", at positions 33 to 735 of the family's 1533-position model. RNAcentral also lists the same sequence under 2 other names. The record is from RNAcentral. Lineage: Bacteria; Pseudomonadati; Pseudomonadota; Gammaproteobacteria; Vibrionales; Vibrionaceae.
ACGCUGGCGGCAGGCCUAACACAUGCAAGUCGAGCGGAAACGACAACAUUGAAUCUUCGGAUGAUUUGUUGGGCGUCGAGCGGCGGACGGGUGAGUAAUGCCUAGGAAAUUGCCUUGAUGUGGGGGAUAACCAUUGGAAACGAUGGCUAAUACCGCAUAAUGCCUACGGGCCAAAGAGGGGGAUCUUCGGACCUCUCGCGUCAAGAUAUGCCUAGGUGGGAUUAGCUAGUUGGUGAGGUAAUGGCUCACCAAGGCGACGAUCCCUAGCUGGUCUGAGAGGAUGAUCAGCCACACUGGAACUGAGACACGGUCCAGACUCCUACGGGAGGCAGCAGUGGGGAAUAUUGCACAAUGGGCGAAAGCCUGAUGCAGCCAUGCCGCGUGUAUGAAGAAGGCCUUCGGGUUGUAAAGUACUUUCAGUUGUGAGGAAGGGUGUGUAGUUAAUAGCUGCRYMUCUUGACGUUAGCAACAGAAGAAGCACCGGCUAACUCCGUGCCAGCAGCCGCGGUAAUACGGAGGGUGCGAGCGUUAAUCGGAAUUACUGGGCGUAAAGCGCAUGCAGGUGGUUCAUUAAGUCAGAUGUGAAAGCCCGGGGCUCAACCUCGGAACUGCAUUUGAAACUGGUGAACUAGAGUGCUGUAGAGGGGGGUAGAAUUUCAGGUGUAGCGGUGAAAUGCGUAGAGAUCUGAAGGAAUACCAGUGGCGAAGGCGGCCCCCUGGACA